RNAcentral lists this unclassified non-coding RNA (347 nucleotides) under Hevea brasiliensis (rubber tree). The record is from RNAcentral. Lineage: Eukaryota; Viridiplantae; Streptophyta; Magnoliopsida; Malpighiales; Euphorbiaceae.
AGGCAACGGCUGUCUAUUGCUUCUACCAAAUCAGAAUUACUUAGGAAAGAUGGUGAAUCCACAACAUGAGCUGUUACAGUUAACUACUCAGGUAAAUGGGAUAAUAUUGUUUGUAGCAGCAUGCCUGGAAUUUUUGUAAAAAGAUUUAGUACCACUCUAGUUAGCAUUGUGUACCUGGGGGAAAUUUGGGUACUACAAGCUGCAUUUGCAUUGUCAAUAAGUCUGUAACUUGUAAUUUAUAUGAUCUUAAAUGAAGCUGCCUUUUUUUUUUUUAAUAUUUAAAAANAUUCUUAUUUGGUUUGGGUACCGUUUGUCCUGCAUGGUUUUAGCAGUAGUUUAUUGAAGGC